AGUAAACAGGAUCUAACAACUGAACUCACGUGCCCUCGGCACAAUCUGAUGCAAAAACAGCAAUCUGGGUUCACCGUCAACCUCAACGGCACCCGACAAUUCUGAACAGCCUAAACACUGCUGUAAAAAUACACUCGGCACCUCAACACGAGCGUAAAUAUAUUCUACACUAUUCUGGGUAUCCACCGUCCACAAACUGCGGUGAUACAAUCAAACUACGGCUCCUAAAGCUAAAUCUGAUAGUUUGUUCAAAUGGCGGUGUAGAAACGUCAGUUUUCUCCUAA
This 284-nucleotide long non-coding RNA is filed under the name Ananas comosus (pineapple). RNAcentral's name for it is "long non-coding RNA (ACOM_LNC029586)". Lineage: Eukaryota; Viridiplantae; Streptophyta; Magnoliopsida; Poales; Bromeliaceae. The record is from RNAcentral.